Molecule: long non-coding RNA, 514 nt
Organism: Centropristis striata (black sea bass)
Lineage: Eukaryota; Metazoa; Chordata; Actinopteri; Perciformes; Serranidae
Exons: 5
Source: RefSeq, a predicted model, not a curated record
AUCUACAAUCAAAUCUUUGGUGACGUCACAUGACGUCACAUCCGAUAGUGCACGCAAAAAACGUGACAGUUCAUGCUCACAACGUGAUGACGAAUUUCGAAAAGUUUUGUUGUGUUUGUUUUUACUGGAUAUUUACAAACCCAUUAGUGUCAGGAAACAGCACUCUGGGACACAAUGUAUGCGUGACAUAUAAAGAGACCUCAAAGAAGACUUCAUCAGCUCAACAUUUAGAAGAUGCAGUUAAAAAGACCUCAAAGUAGACCUGUUUGGAUCAACAUUAGAAGGACACGAUCCUCGUUCUCCUGGCUGAUUGUCCGACGUUUUAUCGACUCAUCCACCUCCCCUUCCUCCAGCCCAGAGUCUGAUAUUCAAACUCUGCAUCGCUGACGAUCAUUACUACAGCAAGAUGGCGUCGGAGUACAAUGGAAAAGAUGUCGUGCUGCAAUCUGAGAGCUGUAGAAUCCGAGAAGGCGAGCCUUGAUGCCCCUACCACCAUCUGCUACUACCACAAAGG